CCACGUAUCAACUCAAAGGACGCAGCCAUUUGACGCUUAACUUUUGAGAACGUUAAGUGAUUUGAAAGAUCGAAUGUUCAAAGUUUUGAGCCAUCAACUAGUAAAAGAUAAAUCAAACGAAGUUACAUUUCCAAACACGAAAAAUAUGCUUACCAAAAACAAAUCACUGCCAUCUUAAACAAGAAACCACAACUGGUGAGGAUUUUAUUACCAAAGAUGUUGUAAUUUCUCCUGGUGUUGAAAAUACAAAACAAUGUAUGCCUUUCAAUUCUAAUUUUUUAUAUAUAUUGCGUACCCUAAGCAUAUUUGUUUUGAAUUGUAUCACAAUUCAAGGCAUUUGAUUGGUAUUUAUGUGUUUUUAUGAAGAUUUGUAUUAUUUAAUAAUAUGCAUGAUAUACGUAUACAGUGUUGCACUUUCGGACUCCAAACGCUCGUUUAUUACGUAUGUUCAAUACUGUAGCAAUGACUUAAAUUUUUCUUUUUUUUGAUAACGGCAAAUAAUUUAAGUGUACUGUGUACCAGUUGGCAGUGCUCAGCACAACUUGACAAGUAUUUGUUCAUCUCAAUAAAUGCGGCGUAGCAGCAAA
Xenia sp. Carnegie-2017 is the source of this 587-nucleotide long non-coding RNA. RefSeq lists it as uncharacterized. The record is from RefSeq and is a predicted model, not a curated record. The transcript is spliced from 3 exons. Lineage: Eukaryota; Metazoa; Cnidaria; Anthozoa; Malacalcyonacea; Xeniidae.